Non-coding RNA from Arachis ipaensis, 198 nucleotides. The record is from RefSeq and is a predicted model, not a curated record. Lineage: Eukaryota; Viridiplantae; Streptophyta; Magnoliopsida; Fabales; Fabaceae.
CUUUUUAAAUGAUGUAUAUUGCUUUUCUGUUUGUUUAUGAAUUUAUUUAUUUAUAUAUUUUAAUAGGUGGAUUUGACACAGCACAUGCUGCAGCUAGGGCAUAUGAUCGAGCUGCGAUCAAGUUCCGUGGCAUUGAUGCAGAUAUCAAUUUCAACGUCAGCGAUUAUGAUGAAGAUAUAAAGCAUAUGAGUAACUUUA